GACGAACGCUGGCGGCGUGCCUAAUACAUGCAAGUAGAACGCUGAAGGAGGAGCUUGCUUCUCUGGAUGAGUUGCGAACGGGUGAGUAACGCGUAGGUAACCUGCCUGGUAGCGGGGGAUAACUAUUGGAAACGAUAGCUAAUACCGCAUAAUAGUAGAUGUCGCAUGACAUUUGCUUAAAAGGUGCAAUUGCAUCACUACCAGAUGGACCUGCGUUGUAUUAGCUAGUUGGUGAGGUAACGGCUCACCAAGGCAACGAUACAUAGCCGACCUGAGAGGGUGAUCGGCCACACUGGGACUGAGACACGGCCCAGACUCCCACGGGAGGCAGCAGUAGGGAAUCUUCGGAAAUGGACGGAAGUCUGAACGAGCAACGCCGCGAGAGUGAAGAAGGUUUUCGGAUCGUAAAGCUCUGUUGUAAGAGAAGAAAGAGUGUGAGAGUGGAAAGUUCACACUGUGACGGUAGCUUACCAGAAAGAGACGGCUAACUACGUG
This 495-nucleotide ribosomal RNA is filed under the name uncultured bacterium. RNAcentral describes it as "partial 16S ribosomal RNA". It matches the Rfam family "Bacterial small subunit ribosomal RNA", at positions 28 to 507 of the family's 1533-position model. The record is from RNAcentral.